AUUGAACGCUGGCGGCAGGCUUAACACAUGCAAGUCGAGCGGGGUGAUGGUGCUUGCACUAUCACUUAGCGGCGGACGGGUGAGUAAUGCUUAGGAAUCUGCCUAUUAGUGGGGGACAACAUCUCGAAAGGGAUGCUAAUACCGCAUACGUCCUACGGGAGAAAGCAGGGGAUCACUUGUGACCUUGCGCUAAUAGAUGAGCCUAAGUCGGAUUAGCUAGUUGGGGGGGUAAAGGCCUACCAAGGCGACGAUCUGUAGCGGGUCUGAGAGGAUGGUCCGCGACACUGGGACUGAGAAACGGCCCCGACUCCUAAGGGAGGCAGCAGUGGGGAAUAUUGGACAAUGGGGGGAACCCUGAUCCAGCCAUGCCGCGUGUGUGAAGAAGGCCUUAUGGUUGUAAAGCACUUUAAGCGAGGAGGAGGCUCUUUUGGUUAAUACCCAAGAUGAGUGGACGUUACUCGCAGAAUAAGCACCGGCUAACCCUGUGCCAGCCGCCGCGGUAA
RNAcentral lists this ribosomal RNA (503 nucleotides) under uncultured bacterium. RNAcentral describes it as "partial 16S ribosomal RNA". It matches the Rfam family "Bacterial small subunit ribosomal RNA", at positions 30 to 523 of the family's 1533-position model. The record is from RNAcentral.